GCUGGGCCGGAGGCCGCUGCUCCCCUGCUGAGUGCCGGCUGCCCCGCUCCGGCCGCGGGUGGGGGGCUCGUGCAGAAGCCGGGGCGAGCUGAACUCGAACGAGCUCGCGCCUGCCGGCCGAGGUUCAAAUGCUUCAGCCCCCUGUGGCUGCGCAGCUCCCGAGUCCCUUCAGAGGCGCCUGGGCUUCCCCGGGCCGGACCCGGCGCCUUUUGAGCGCCCUCCGCUCCCGCUGACGGCGCUGGGCGCUGAGGGUGUCAGGCCCCUGCGGCUCGGGGCUUUGCUCAGAAGAAGGAAAUGUCAGCUCAGAUCUAACGCAGAGAGUCAGUGGCGUGCAUGGCUGCAAAAUAACUGACAGUUACAUUGUAUGAAGGGUGGUCGUGGCUGUGAGGGUCCCAGGAUAGGAGAGAGAUAAGAAGGGUAAGUCUUUGGUCAUAAUACAAUGGAUGCACAAACCAGAAAAAUGGCUCAGUUAUUGGACAAUGAUCAGUUCUUGGAAAAAGUAGGGGUAAGCAUGGGAUCUGGCACAGUUCCGGUGAAAGGCCGACCAUCCUGGCAUGAUAUUACAAUAACAGAUUUGGAGCCCGAUAAUGGAUUACUGGUUACACACAUCAACCAGACACAAGACCUGCUGAGAGUGCAAAGGAGGAAAAUGCAAUCCAGUGAGGUGCAAACCACAGAAGAAUGGCUAAGAAACCACAGUUUAGAAUCCAUGCAAUUAACAUUAGAAGAUCUCCUAAAGAAAGGCAAUGUUGUUUUGAAUGCAAGAAAUGCCACAGAACAGAUAGAGUUUGCUGCCAAGACAGUUGUUAAUUUUGAAUCCAAGCUGUCUGAAGCAAUUGAACUUUAUCACCAGCGAAUUCAGUGGCUGUUGGAGGACAGCAGAAAGGUGUUCGGCCUUAUAAAAGGGAACAAAGUUGGACUCCUGGUUGAUGUAUCUGAUAUAAGUUGCGGACCUCGACUAUUUGAGUUCCAGAAAGACCUUUUGUGUCUAAUAGAUGAACAGCUGUGUUAUAAGAAGCAAUUAUAUUUCCUCUCCUUUGGUACUGAGAUUUCAUCUCUAUGGGAGAAUCCAACAAACAUCAACGUGCGCGUCCUAGAUGAAGCAAGACAGUGGGUGCAGGAGCUGCAACCCAGUGGAGGCUGCAAUUUGCUGAAAGCUUUAAAGAAGGUCCUUACAAUGAGGGAACUGAAUUCAUUGGUUCUUAUUGUAGGAAGCUGCCCUGAUCAGUCUUCGGAAAUAUUGUGUGACUAUAUUCAGCAAUGUACCUUGGGGAGAAAGCUGCUGAUACACACCAUUACAUAUGAGUGUAGCAGUCAUGUUCCUCCUGCUGUUUUAAAGAACCUUGCGGAAGUUGUUGGAGGCCGUUAUCACUGCUAUUCUUCAAAGAAUGAGAAUUACGAUAGUAGUGAUGUUUAUCUGCUACUUUGUGAAUCCCAAAAAGCUAAGAACAUUCUCAGCAGCAUCAAAGAAACUUUCCAGGGAAGGAUUGGUGAUUCAGUUAUUGGUAGAGUACAAGAUAUUUCCACAGUAUUUACCAAGUUGACGCCUGCUAGUUUCCUACCCAAGCCUCCAAACCAUGAAGGACCUCUUGUUGUACAAAUGCCAAGCUUCCUGGCCAAAACCUCUGCACGCUGGUUAAAGACAAAUGGAUUGAAAGCCAAGAAGUUAAGCCUUUAUCAAGUUUUGGCUCCUAAUGCUUUUUCACCUGUGGAAGAAUUUGUGCCUAUUCUUCAGAAAACAGUGUCAUCAACUCUGCAUGAGAAAGCAAUGAUGCAGUUUGAAUGGCAUGAUGGGACUGUGAAAAAUGUCCACGUGGACCCACCAAUAUUAUAUGACUAUCAGAAACAGCUUGAUAGAAUGGUGAGAACGUAUGAGAGGCGAAUAGACUGGCUUUCUGUCGCUAGCAGAAGAAUAUGGGGAACUGUUUGUGAACUGAGGGUUGUUAUACUCGUUGAUAUCUCAGUAACAAAUUCCUUGUACAUCAUUCAUAUCCAACAUUCCUUGCGACUUUUACUUGAAGAACAAAUGUCAAACAAGGAUUUCUUCAAUAUUCUAGCAUUUGGAAGUGACAUCAAGUCUUGGAAACCAGAAAUGGUUCCUUGUAAUCCAGAAAAUUUACAAAGUGCCUGGAGAUGGGUGUUGAGCCUGCAGUGCAAAGGUAGUAGAAAUUUCAUGAGUGCUCUAAGAAGAGCAGUGGAAGUAGACCUCAAAGAUAAAGACAAAUAUGUAUCUCAAGGACUUUAUCUGCUUACCACUGGAGUUCCUGACCAGGAGAUGCAUGCAGUUAGUACUUACGUGGCCGAUGUCUGUGGCGGUUGUGAUUUGCAGCUUCAUGUCUGUCUGUUCAGUAUAAAUGGUUUUGACCCCAGUGGCAUUAUUCCAUCUCGUUAUGCCAGUCCAAAUGAAACUGCCAGCACAUUUAGAGAAAUAGCACAUGCUGCCAAUGGAAGGUUUCAUUGGUUUGGAGAAACAGGCAUUUAUGAAAGUGAUGAUAUCAGUAUUAUUGUGUCUGAAAUGGAAAAAGCAGUCAACUACUCCCAAAAGUGUGCCUUGCUGGUGGAAUCCUUAAAGCAACGUUCAGGAACUCAGUUGGUUAAUCAGUUUAUCCCAGAAGACGAUUUAAAGAUGCUCUUAAAAAAGGAGAGAACUAGAGCACAGAAAUUGCUGCCUCCUAAACCUACAGCUCUCACUCUGGCUAGAAUGAAUAUCAAAGACAAUCAUGAGGGGGAAAAAAAUGCUGCCUUAAAAGCUCUGACAUGGCGUCCAACUAGUGCCAAAGCAGAAAUCCCACCACCUCAGCCAAUAAAAGAAUGGACUCAGACUUCUGUGAAGAAGAAAUAUAAAUCAAGAAAACAGUCACAGAUCUCCCUCUCAGUAUUUUAUAUUGACAAAGGAAAAAAUGUGGGUGCAGUUUACAGAAAGUAUCCAAAGAAAAAAAGUGUGAGGAGGUCAAUUCCUGUUGCUACACUGCCAAAGGAAGAGGAAAUAUGUUCAAGCAAAGAGUGGUUGAACAAGUACAGUAUAAAAAAGUUGAAGUUAGAGUUGCCCAGAAUUAUGUUUGGUCCCAACUGUGUUCACCAGAAGAAAACGGUGGAGUCUUUGCACAAGAAAGUGUCAGCAAAAUACUGUACCAUUUUCCCCAGUGUGGAAAUUAAUGGUAUUGUGAAACACCUACAAUUUCAGCCUAAGGAACUAGAAGACUAUGUUGAACAAAUGGAGAGGGUGUUACAUUGCUAUAUACGAAGAAUACAAUGGCUUCUUUCAGGAAGCCGGCGAUUAUUUGGCACCAUUUUGGAGACAAAGGUAUGCAUCUUGAUUGAUACAUCUGGUUCCAUGGACCCUUAUUUGCAACAGGUCACAAAAGAGCUUAUCUCCCUCAUCUGGGAACAGCUAAGAAAGAAUAAUGCUAGGUUUAACCUGCUGAGAUUUGCAGAAGAUAUAGACACUUGGCAGGACUUUCUUGUAGAGGCUACAGAUGAAACAUGUCAUGAUGCUGUACAAUGGGUGUCAAAAUUCCAAGCUCAUGGCAAUACAUGUGUCCUUAAGGCUUUGCAGAAAGCUUUCUGUUUUCAAGAUCUAGAGGCACUGUAUGUUCUGACCGAUGGAAAGCCAGAUACCAGCUGCAGUCUCAUUCUAAAAGAAGUUGAAAAGAUUAGAAAGAAACAAACUAUUAAAAUCCACACCAUUUCUUUUAACUGUUCAGACAGAAGAGCUAAUGAAUUUCUGAAGAAGCUGGCCUCUCAAACAGGAGGACGCUACCAUCGCUGUAUUGGAGAUAUGGAUGGACAGUUAGCAGCACACAGAAUGUUGACAGAAGGGUUUGAUGAUGAUGAUGAUCCAGUUUUUCCUUUCUUCGAAGGAGAUGAUUUAAAGAAACUUGCUCAAGAAGUAGCAAAAGCCAGAAGCUUUUUAAUGCAAGCAAAAUCCUUUAGGUUGCUAUUAGAAAAAUGGAAUUUGGACCAAAAGGACAAUUCUUUUUUAAAAAAAAAUCCUCAGGUGCUUUGCUAGGUCAGGGCUGUGACAGAGGUGAAGAUUUUCUGCCAGUUGAAGCCUGCAGCCUGGACAGUAAAUCAGGCCCAGAAUGCACAUACAGUUCAACCUUUUUAUUUUAACAGACUCCAGAUAUUAUCCUUGAUGGGUAAAAGAGAUGGACUAUCCUCCUAAAAAUAAAAUUAUUCCCAACGUCUUUAUAUAGUGAUGUCAAGAAACAACUGUUUGCACAGAAAAAAAAAUAAAGCCUAAAGUUGAAGAGAA
Mauremys reevesii (Reeves's turtle) is the source of this 4255-nucleotide RNA transcript. It is a transcript of the gene named von Willebrand factor A domain containing 3A, with no coding region annotated. The record is from RefSeq and is a predicted model, not a curated record. NCBI's taxonomy places the organism in Eukaryota, Metazoa, Chordata, Testudines, Geoemydidae. The transcript has 35 exons.